This 380-nucleotide ribosomal RNA is filed under the name uncultured eukaryote. Its description in RNAcentral is "partial 18S ribosomal RNA". It matches the Rfam family "Eukaryotic small subunit ribosomal RNA", at positions 592 to 976 of the family's 1831-position model. The record is from RNAcentral.
CAAUAGCGUAUAUUAAAGUUGUUGCGGUUAAAAAGCUCGUAGUUGGAGUUCUGCCAGGUGCCGCCUGUCCGCCCCAGUGGUGAGUACGUGGCGCGCAUUUGGCCCUUUCAAGGGGAGCGUAUCUGCACUUUAUUGUGUGGUGCGGGAUCCUUGACUUUUACUUUGAGGAAAUAGGAGUGUUCCAAGCAGGCUCUCGUCGUGCACAGCUCAGCAUGGAAUAAUAGCAUUGGACCUCGAUUCUAAGCUGUUGGUUGCCAGAAGCGAGGUAAUGAUGAAGAGGGAUAGUUGGGGGCAUUCGUAUUUAACUGUCAGAGGUGAAAUUCUUGGAUUUGUUAAAGACGGACUACUGUGAAAGCAUCUGCCAUGGAUGUUUUCAUUGA